GAGGAGCUUGCUCCUCUGACGUUAGCGGCGGACGGGUGAGUAACACGUGGAUAACCUACCUAUAAGACUGGGAUAACUUCGGGAAACCGGAGCUAAUACCGGAUAAUAUAUUGAACCGCAUGGUUCAAUAGUGAAAGACGGUUUUGCUGUCACUUAUAGAUGGAUCCGCGCCGCAUUAGCUAGUUGGUAAGGUAACGGCUUACCAAGGCAACGAUGCGUAGCCGACCUGAGAGGGUGAUCGGCCACACUGGAACUGAGACACGGUCCAGACUCCGACGGGAGGCAGCAGUAGGGAAUCUUCCGCAAUGGGCGAAAGCCUGACGGAGCAACGCCGCGUGAGUGAUGAAGGUCUUCGGAUCGUAAAACUCUGUUAUUAGGGAAGAA
RNAcentral lists this ribosomal RNA (384 nucleotides) under uncultured Staphylococcus sp. RNAcentral's name for it is "bacterial SSU rRNA". It matches the Rfam family "Bacterial small subunit ribosomal RNA", at positions 73 to 449 of the family's 1533-position model. Lineage: Bacteria; Bacillati; Bacillota; Bacilli; Caryophanales; Staphylococcaceae. The record is from RNAcentral.